GCUUCUGUAGCUUAACUGACAAAGUAUCAGUUUCCGGAACUGAUGAUAGUGGUUCGAUUCCACGAGGGGAGCA
Molecule: transfer RNA, 73 nt
Filed under: Candidatus Woesebacteria bacterium
Lineage: Bacteria; Candidatus Woeseibacteriota
Description: tRNA-Arg
Rfam family: tRNA
About the family: Transfer RNA (tRNA) molecules are approximately 80 nucleotides in length. Their secondary structure includes four short double-helical elements and three loops (D, anti-codon, and T loops). Further hydrogen bonds mediate the characteristic L-shaped molecular structure. tRNAs have two regions of fundamental functional importance: the anti-codon, which is responsible for specific mRNA codon recognition, and the 3' end, to which the tRNAs corresponding amino acid is attached (by aminoacyl-tRNA synthetases). tRNAs cope with the degeneracy of the genetic code in two manners: having more than one tRNA (with a specific anti-codon) for a particular amino acid; and 'wobble' base-pairing, i.e. permitting non-standard base-pairing at the 3rd anti-codon position.
Source: RNAcentral